GGCAGAGAGAGCCCAGUUCCCGUGCCCGAGACGGGCAUGAGGAAAGUCCCCCCACCGUCCGAACGGGUGACCGGGCGCAAGCCCGGAGUCGGAGACGGCUGGCGCUGGAACAGAAACGAGACCGCUCGACCCGACCGAUGAUGCGCGCGCGACGGCUCCGCCGUCGCCGGCGCGGCCGUCACGGCCGCGUGCGAACCGACCCGUAAGGGAAGGGAGCUAACCCGCAGAGGGAUGAGGUGGCGUCGCCAUCUCCGACGGUCGAGAACGGAUGGAACGGCGAAUCCUCACCGGUGCAAGUCCGCGCCGCGAAGGGUAGUUCGGACGGCGCGUCGGGUUCGCCCGUCGCGCCCUCGGGGGGCUCGCCCCGAGAAGGACGCGGACGCUGAGCCGAAUGCUGGGACGAACAGAAGGGGGCUUACUCCUCUCAGCCGCUU
RNAcentral lists this RNase P RNA (434 nucleotides) under Haloferax volcanii. Its description in RNAcentral is "Archaeal RNase P". It matches the Rfam family "Archaeal RNase P". From Rfam's summary of the family: Ribonuclease P (RNase P) is a ubiquitous endoribonuclease, found in archaea, bacteria and eukarya as well as chloroplasts and mitochondria. Its best characterised activity is the generation of mature 5'-ends of tRNAs by cleaving the 5'-leader elements of precursor-tRNAs. Cellular RNase Ps are ribonucleoproteins. Lineage: Archaea; Methanobacteriati; Methanobacteriota; Halobacteria; Halobacteriales; Haloferacaceae. The record is from Rfam by way of RNAcentral.